CACAACACCCAAGCCUCCCUUCUCCCAGUCCAGAAGGAGAGCGAAAGGUUCACGUCCCAGUCCACUAAGACAGCACCUGUGGGCGCAGGUCUCUGCGGAAGGCGCCCGCGCCCCCGGCUCAGACUCCUCGGUGCCGUCCCUGCACACUGAAGGCGAUGGCUCCCCGGGGACAGAGUCCCUCUCCGGGCCUCUCAGCAGCCCGGGCGGCGGCUUCUCUCCACGGUUUUCGCGGGCGCUUCCCCCAGGAUGGAGGGGGGUGGCCUCGCCUCAGGUCUGCGCCCUCGGGCCGACGGUUCGACGCGCGCUCUGGGCUCCGGCAGCGCCGCUCGGGGUCCUCAGAAGGCCACCACGGCCCGCACGAGCACGUUGAGCAUGCUGUCCGCCGGGCGGCAAGCGGGCUUUGCCUCGCACGCGGGCGGCGCCGUCGGAGGGGCCGCGGGGCUGCAGUUCAGGAGGCCGGAGAAGCGCCUCUGCAGGACGCGGGCCAGGUUGGGAAAGGCGCCCUCCGCUUGCGCCGGAGGGGGCUGCAGGCGAUCGGCGACUUCGGAUGACGCUCCCUCCUCUUCUUCCUUUUCUUCCAGACGGGCUUUCUUGCUCGGGACCAGUCCAGCGUCCCCGCCGUCGCUCAGGGUCAUGAUGCGCUGUGCCUCUUUCUGCACUUCCAUGGCGACUCGACGGCGACAGCGGCGGGGGCUCCCGGGAGGGACAGAACAGGCAGCAGGUGCACUCCGGACAACGGGCUCGCUCACGCCUCUC
Molecule: long non-coding RNA, 756 nt
Organism: Homo sapiens (human)
Lineage: Eukaryota; Metazoa; Chordata; Mammalia; Primates; Hominidae
Source: Ensembl